Molecule: ribosomal RNA, 504 nt
Filed under: uncultured bacterium
Lineage: Bacteria
Description: partial 16S ribosomal RNA
Rfam family: Bacterial small subunit ribosomal RNA
Source: RNAcentral
AUUGAACGCUGGCGGCAGGCCUAACACAUGCAAGUCGAACGGUAGCACAGAGAGUUUGCUCUCGGGUGACGAGUGGCGGACGGGUGAGUAACGUCUGGGAAGCUGCCCGAUGGAGGGGGAUAACUACUGGAAACGGUAGCUAAUACCGCAUAACGUCGCAAGACCAAAGUGGGGGACCUUCGGGCCUCACACCAUCGGAUGUGCCCAGAUGGGAUUAGCUAGUAGGUGGGGUAAUGGCUCACCUAGGCUACGAUCCCUAGCUGGUCUGAGAGGAUGACCAGCCAACGUGGAACUGAGACACGGUCCAGACUCCGACGGGAGGCAGCAGUGGGGAAUAUUGCACAAUGGGCGCAAGCCUGAUGCAGCCAUGCCGCGUGGAUGAAGAAGGCCUUCGGGUUGUAAAGUACUUUCAGCGGGGAGGAAGGCGGUGAAGUUAAUAGCUUCACCGAUUGACGUUACCCGCAGAAGAAGCACCGGCUAACUCCGUGCCAGCAGCCGCCGUAA